GACGAACGCUGGCGGCGUGCUUAACACAUGCAAGUCGAACGGAAAGGCCCUGCUUUUGUGGGGUGCUCGAGUGGCGAACGGGUGAGUAACACGUGAGUAACCUGCCCUUGACUUUGGGAUAACUUCAGGAAACUGGGGCUCAUACCGGAUAGGAGCUCCUGCUGCAUGGUGGGGGUUGGAAAGUUUCGGCGGUUGGGGAUGGACUCGCGGCUUAUCAGCUGGUUGGUGGGGUAGGGGCUUACCAAGGCUUUGACGGGUAGCCGGCCUGAGAGGGUGACCGGCCACAUUGGGACUGAGAUACGGCCCAGACGCCUACGGGAGGCAGCAGUGGGGAAUAUUACACAAUGGGCGGAAGCCUGAUGCAGCAACGCCGCGUGCGGGAUGACGGCCUUCGGGUUGUAAACCGCUUUCGCCUGUGACGAAGCGUGAGUGACGGUAAUGGGUAAAGAAGCACCGGCUAACUACGUG
Molecule: ribosomal RNA, 468 nt
Filed under: uncultured bacterium
Lineage: Bacteria
Description: partial 16S ribosomal RNA
Rfam family: Bacterial small subunit ribosomal RNA
Source: RNAcentral